This 500-nucleotide ribosomal RNA is filed under the name uncultured bacterium. RNAcentral describes it as "partial 16S ribosomal RNA". It matches the Rfam family "Bacterial small subunit ribosomal RNA", at positions 30 to 523 of the family's 1533-position model. The record is from RNAcentral.
AUUGAACGCUGGCGGCAUGCCUUACACAUGCAAGUCGAACGGCAGCACGGAGCUUGCUCUGGUGGCGAGUGGCGAACGGGUGAGUAAUAUAUCGGAACGUACCCAAGAGUGGGGGAUAACGUAGCGAAAGUUACGCUAAUACCGCAUACGAUCUAAGGAUGAAAGUGGGGGAUCGCAAGACCUCAUGCUCCUGGAGCGGCCGAUAUCUGAUUAGCUAGUUGGUGAGGUAAAGGCUCACCAAGGCAUCGAUCAGUAGCUGGUCUGAGAGGACGACCAGCCACACGGGAACUGAGACACGGUCCAGACUCCUACGGGAGGCAGCAGUGGGGAAUUUUGGACAAUGGGGGCAACCCUGAUCCAGCAAUGCCGCGUGAGUGAAGAAGGCCUUCGGGUUGUAAAGCUCUUUUGUCAGGGAAGAAACGGUGAAGGCUAAUAUCCUUUGCUAAUGACGGUACCUGAAGAAUAAGCACCGGCUAACUACGUGCCAGCAGCCGCCGUAA